This 1449-nucleotide ribosomal RNA is filed under the name uncultured organism. RNAcentral's name for it is "SSU rRNA". It matches the Rfam family "Bacterial small subunit ribosomal RNA". The record is from RNAcentral.
UUAGAUUGAACGCUGGCGGCAGGCCUAACACAUGCAAGUCGAGCGGUAGCACAGAGAGCUUGCUCUCGGGUGACGAGCGGCGGACGGGUGAGUAAUGUCUGGGAAACUGCCUGAUGGAGGGGGAUAACUACUGGAAACGGUAGCUAAUACCGCAUAACGUCGCAAGACCAAAGUGGGGGACCUUCGGGCCUCAUGCCAUCAGAUGUGCCCAGAUGGGAUUAGCUAGUAGGUGGGGUAACGGCUCACCUAGGCGACGAUCCCUAGCUGGUCUGAGAGGAUGACCAGCCACACUGGAACUGAGACACGGUCCAGACUCCUACGGGAGGCAGCAGUGGGGAAUAUUGCACAAUGGGCGCAAGCCUGAUGCAGCCAUGCCGCGUGUAUGAAGAAGGCCUUCGGGUUGUAAAGUACUUUCAGCGGGGAGGAAGGCGAUAAGGUUAAUAACCUUGUCGAUUGACGUUACCCGCAGAAGAAGCACCGGCUAACUCCGUGCCAGCAGCCGCGGUAAUACGGAGGGUGCAAGCGUUAAUCGGAAUUACUGGGCGUAAAGCGCACGCAGGCGGUCUGUCAAGUCGGAUGUGAAAUCCCCGGGCUCAACCUGGGAACUGCAUUCGAAACUGGCAGGCUAGAGUCUUGUAGAGGGGGGUAGAAUUCCAGGUGUAGCGGUGAAAUGCGUAGAGAUCUGGAGGAAUACCGGUGGCGAAGGCGGCCCCCUGGACAAAGACUGACGCUCAGGUGCGAAAGCGUGGGGAGCAAACAGGAUUAGAUACCCUGGUAGUCCACGCCGUAAACGAUGUCGAUUUGGAGGUUGUGCCCUUGAGGCGUGGCUUCCGGAGCUAACGCGUUAAAUCGACCGCCUGGGGAGUACGGCCGCAAGGUUAAAACUCAAAUGAAUUGACGGGGGCCCGCACAAGCGGUGGAGCAUGUGGUUUAAUUCGAUGCAACGCGAAGAACCUUACCUGGUCUUGACAUCCACAGAACUUAGCAGAGAUGCUUUGGUGCCUUCGGGAACUGUGAGACAGGUGCUGCAUGGCUGUCGUCAGCUCGUGUUGUGAAAUGUUGGGUUAAGUCCCGCAACGAGCGCAACCCUUAUCCUUUGUUGCCAGCGGUUAGGCCGGGAACUCAAAGGAGACUGCCAGUGAUAAACUGGAGGAAGGUGGGGAUGACGUCAAGUCAUCAUGGCCCUUACGACCAGGGCUACACACGUGCUACAAUGGCAUAUACAAAGAGAAGCGACCUCGCGAGAGCAAGCGGACCUCAUAAAGUAUGUCGUAGUCCGGAUUGGAGUCUGCAACUCGACUCCAUGAAGUCGGAAUCGCUAGUAAUCGUAGAUCAGAAUGAUACGGUGAAUACGUUCCCGGGCCUUGUACACACCGCCCGUCACACCAUGGGAGUGGGUUGCAAAAGAAGUAGGUAGCUUAACCUUCGGGAGGGCGCUUACCACUUUGU